This 379-nucleotide ribosomal RNA is filed under the name uncultured bacterium. RNAcentral's name for it is "bacterial SSU rRNA". It matches the Rfam family "Bacterial small subunit ribosomal RNA", at positions 521 to 896 of the family's 1533-position model. The record is from RNAcentral.
UAAGACAGAGGUGGCAAGCGUUAUCCGGAUUCACUGGGCGUAAAGGGCGUCUAGGCGGCCGAGCAAGUCACCUGUGAAAGCCCUCGACUCAACUGAGGGUCGUCAGGUGAUACUGUCCGGCUUGGGUGCAGGAGAGGGGAGUGGAACUACCGGAGUAGCGGUGAAAUGCGCAGAUACCGGUAGGUACCCCGAUGGCGAAGGCAACUCCCUGGCCUGCUACCGACGCUGAAGCGCGAAAGCGUGGGGAGCGAAAGGGAUUAGAUACCCCUGUAGUCCACGCCGCAAACGAUGCGGGCUAGGUGUUGGGCCUCCAAAUAAUGGCUCAGUGCCGCAGCUAACGCGUUAAGCCCGCCGCCCGGGGACUACGGCCGCAAGGCUA